CAGUAGCCACGGGAAUACGAAGGGGGCUAGCGUUGCUCGGAAUGACUGGGCGUAAAGGGCGCGUAGGCGGCGAUCAAAGUCAGGCGUUAAAUUCCCGGGCUCAACCUGGGGGCUGCGUUUGAUACUUGGUUGCCUGUGUGGGGAAGAGGGUCGUGGAAUUCCCAGUGUAGAGGUGAAAUUCGUAGAUAUUGGGAAGAACACCGGUGGCGAAGGCGGCGACCUGGUCCUUGACUGACGCUGAGGCGCGAAAGCGUGGGGAGCAAACAGGAUUAGAUACCCGCGUAGUCCCUGUCUCUUAUAC
Molecule: ribosomal RNA, 301 nt
Filed under: uncultured bacterium
Lineage: Bacteria
Description: partial 16S ribosomal RNA
Rfam family: Bacterial small subunit ribosomal RNA
Source: RNAcentral